RNAcentral lists this ribosomal RNA (902 nucleotides) under uncultured bacterium. Its description in RNAcentral is "bacterial SSU rRNA". It matches the Rfam family "Bacterial small subunit ribosomal RNA", at positions 8 to 916 of the family's 1533-position model. The record is from RNAcentral.
AGAGUUUGAUCCUGGCUCAGGCCUAACACAUGCAAGUCGAACGGUAGCACAGAGGAGCUUGCUCCUUGGGUGACGAGUGGCGGACGGGUGAGGAAUGCAUCGGAAUCUACUCUUUCGUGGGGGAUAACGUAGGGAAACUUACGCUAAUACCGCAUACGACCUACGGGUGAAAGCAGGGGACCUUCUAGGCCUUGCGCGAUUGAAUGAGCCGAUGUCCGAUUAGCUAGGUUGCGGGGUAAUGGCCCACCAAGGCGACGAUCGGUAGCUGGUCUGAGAGGAUGAUCAGCCACACUGGAACUGAGACACGGUCCAGACUCCUACGGGAGGCAGCAGUGGGGAAUAUUGGACAAUGGGCGCAAGCCUGAUCCAGCCAAACCGCGUGGGUGAAGAAGGCCUUCGGGUUGUAAAGCCCUUUUGUUGGGAAAGAAAAGCAGCCGGCUAAUACCCGGUUGUUCUGACGGUACCCAAAGAAUAAGCACCGGCUAACUUCGUGCCAGCAGCCGCGGUAAUACGAAGGGUGCAAGCGUUACUCGGAAUUACUGGGCGUAAAGCGUGCGUAGGUGGUUGUUUAAAUCUGUCGUGAAAGCCCUGGGCUCAACCUGGGAACUGCGAUGGAAACUGGGCGACUAGAGUGUGGUAGAGGGUAGCGGAAUUCCUGGUGUAGCAGUGAAAUGCGUAGAUAUCAGGAGGAACAUCCAUGGCGAAGGCAGCUACCUGGGCCAACACUGACACUGAGGCACGAAAGCGUGGGGAGCAAACAGGAUUAGAUACCCUGGUAGUCCACGCCCUAAACGAUGCGAACUGGAUGUUGGGUGCACUUUGGCACGCAGUAUCGAAGCUAACGCGUUAAGUUCGCCGCCUGGGGAGUACGGUCGCAAGAUUGAAACUCAAAGGAAUGACGG